UACGGAGGAUGCAAGCGUUAUCCGGAAUGAUUGGGCGUAAAGCGUCCGCAGGUGGCUAUGUAAGUCUGCUGUUAAAGAGUGAGGCUCAACCUCAUAAGAGCAGUGGAAACUACAUGGCUAGAGUGCGUUCGGGGCAGAGGGAAUUCCUGGUGUAGCGGUGAAAUACGUAGAUAUCAGGAAGAACACCGGUGGCGAAAGCGCUCUGCUAGGCCGCAACUGACACUGAGGGACGAAAGCUAGGGGAGCGAAUGGG
This 253-nucleotide ribosomal RNA is filed under the name uncultured bacterium. Its description in RNAcentral is "partial 16S ribosomal RNA". It matches the Rfam family "Bacterial small subunit ribosomal RNA", at positions 524 to 776 of the family's 1533-position model. The record is from RNAcentral.